AUUGAACGCUGGCGGCAUGCCUUACACAUGCAAGUCGAACGGUAACAGGUCUUCGGAUGCUGACGAGUGGCGAACGGGUGAGUAAUACAUCGGAACGUGCCUAGUAGUGGGGGAUAACUACUCGAAAGGGUGGCUAAUACCGCAUGAGAUCUACGGAUGAAAGCAGGGGAUCGCAAGACCUUGUGCUACUAGAGCGGCCGAUGGCAGAUUAGGUAGUUGGUGGGAUAAAAGCUUACCAAGCCGACGAUCUGUAGCUGGUCUGAGAGGACGAUCAGCCACACUGGGACAGAGACACGGCCGAGACUCCUACGGGAAGCAGCAGUGGGGAAUUUUGGACAAUGGGCGAAAGCCUGAUCCAGCAAUGCCGCGUGCAGGAUGAAGGCCUUCGGGUUGUAAACUGCUUUUGUACGGAACGAAAAGCCCUGGGUUAAUACCCUGGGGUCAUGACGGUACCGUAAGAAUAAGCACCGGCUAACUACGUGCCAGCAGCCGCAGUAA
Molecule: ribosomal RNA, 498 nt
Filed under: uncultured bacterium
Lineage: Bacteria
Description: partial 16S ribosomal RNA
Rfam family: Bacterial small subunit ribosomal RNA
Source: RNAcentral